This 375-nucleotide long non-coding RNA is filed under the name Anser cygnoides (Swan goose). RNAcentral's name for it is "lncRNA (ENSACDG00005015449.1)". The record is from RNAcentral. Lineage: Eukaryota; Metazoa; Chordata; Aves; Anseriformes; Anatidae.
GCAUGUGCUAUAGGAGCAGGCAGGACGGCCUGGGGGAAGAGGUGGGGUGUUUGCAUGGUGAUGUGGUGAGCCUCAGCGUAAGCAGUAUGCAGAGGAUGUGGGGCUAUAGCCGCCUGGCAGGCACCAAAGGAGGUUGAGGCGGGCAGCACAGCUCCACAAACAGCCUGACCCAUGGAUGCCAGCCAGAGGAACUGCCCCCAGCUCUCCUGCAGCCCUCCGGCUGUCCUCGGGGGCCACCCCAGCUGCAGCUGCUCCGUUUGCUGGUGCCGCCUCUUCAUGGUGCGUCUCCUGUGAGUAGAUCAAAUAUGCCUGAUUUUUGUAGAGUGCUGUGAAGAGGCUUUUAAGAGUUCUCAAGGCAAUCAGUGCAGCAUCGUA